GGGAGUAGCUGUCAUUGAAAAUAUCUUUAUUGGUACUCACCAACAUCACUAUCCAUUUCUUUAUAUAAAGAUAAAAGAGACAACCUAGCAAAAGAUGUGGAAAAUUGCUGUGCUAUAGCUAGCAGCUAGCCGCCGGUCACUAAACCCUAGCAAAUGGGUAAUUGUAAUUCAUGCCUCCCACAAACCCCAAACCACACUGAGCUGGAGAAUCCAGGUUAACCCCCACUCCUUUUUGCUCUUUUUUAAAAAAUAUUUCUUCUAUACUAUUUGCAUUUCAAUAUGUUUCUUUUUAUGUAGAAUCUCGAGCAAAUCCUCUCCCUCCUUUUACUGCUCCACAUCCGGUAGAUAUUUCCACUGUUCCAGGUUGCUAACUCUUCCUUCUUUUACUUUUUAUACGUAGUUAAUGUCAUGUUCAUUUCAUAAAAGAUGCAUUUUAUACGUAGUUAAUGUCAUGUUCAUUCCAUAAAAGAUGCAUUAAAAGAUAAUCGUAUUUAUAUCAUCAUAAAUUAUGAUAAUAUCUGAGCUCUGUUUCAACUUUCAAGUGGAUUUGUAUUCAUUUGAAAAUCGCACCACUAUUUUUAUUUUUGGGUCGAAGAAAAUAGCAGCACCACUGUAGGAAGCCUAAGAUGAUUCUAGUUAGUCCAGGCAGAGCUAGAUAGAGCCAACCGCAACCGGUGACUGCCCUUGUUUGGUUACCUUACAAAUAUAUAUAUCAAACAAAAAAAACCCACCAUUUAGGCCACAAUAGUAAUUAAGUACCAUACGUAUAGGCUUAUAGGGGCCUGGAUAGGAGAAAAGUUGCAUCCUACUGUUUUAUUUAUUUAUUUAUUUAUUUUAUUGUUUUUCAAACUUCAAGAACCCAUAUUGACUUUGUAUAUGCUGAAUCUUUUCUGAUUGGAUGCUCCUAUCAUCCUCUCUUCUUUUCUCAGAUAGCCACAGAAUCUGCAUGAAAGUUUUCAAAUUAAAAUAUACAUUCAUUUUUUCAUUAUAAUAUAUAAUCCUUUCUGAAGAAAAAGAAAAAUAUAAUCUGUUCUAUUCUAUCUAUAUAAGCAGUAAGUGGUAGGGUUUUAGCUGCACCGUUACUGGUGCUUCAUGUUGCUUACUCUGUUUUUCUGCUGUAUGAGUUAUAACCCUCAUGUCAGAACCAGUUUAAAAUAAAUUUAUAUAUAUUUAUAUAUAAAUGAUAUUGAAGUGAGAAUUAAAGGAUAAGUUAUCAGGUUUUUGACAGCAAAUAGCAGUACAAAAAUGAGAUCUGCACAUUUGAAACUUCUUACUUUUUAGUUUGGUUAACACUGCACUUUGAUUUUGUGAUAAAGUAGGAAAAAGUUAUCUAUUUAUUUAUUUAUUUUCAUUGAAUUGGAUUAUGAAGCUCAUGAGAUAGAUUGCAUUAUCUGAUGUCUUGUAUAUCAAUUGGUGUAGAGCACUAGUUCCAAUUUGGAUACUCAGUUGAAACAGUUGUGAGAGAAUUUCUAGCUGAUAGCUUGGUACGUCCUUGUAGACCCGAAAUUUUAUAUCCUAAACCCCCCCAAAAAAAACAGCAUAAGAUAAGGAAAUAGAAGAAGCAGAGGUAUCCUUGGUACAAAGAUACACUAACCACUUUUCCGAACAACUACCACUUUUGACUAAAAAAUAUUACACAAAAAAACCUAAGUCCUAGUGGGGUCGUGAUAUUUCUAUCCAGCUAGCUAUUUGUUUUAGUUGCUGGAACUAUAAGGGUUUUGGGUAGAGCUGGAGCUGAGAUUGAGGUCAGGAAUAUUGUUGUUUGCUGCUGCAUUUGCUUUUGAGUUUGUCUUGGACAGCUUCUGCUUCAUCUCAGAAAGCAGAGCUUGAUUCUCCUGGUUGCUGCAGCAGCAGCAGCAGCUAGGGUGCUUCUCAAUUUUUAUCUUAUUAAUCUUUUCUUAUACUAAUUAUUAUAUCAAUUUUAAUUUACCUACUUUUGAUACAGCACCUGGUGCCUCUUCAUCAUAUGCUUUUGCUGCUGGUCCUUCAAACACUGAGGGUGAGGACUUGGAUGAAACACCUUCCAUGGUUGCUGCUGACUAUGGUGGGAUUAUUUUGGAAGAGGGACAGCAGCCUAACUUUCACAUGUUCAAGGAGAAAGAUCUCUAAAAAAUAGUUAUCCAGUUCAAAAGACAUGUCUUGAAUCAAGUAGGUAUUUACCAGCUUUUUAGGAUCGUUUUUAUUGUCCUCGAGAUACUGCAAAGUAGCCCUAGUCACAUUUAGAUCUACACUGUUAUCUAGUUUGUUGCCUUUCAUCAAUUCUAGCACCACAACUCCAAAAGAAAACACAUCUCUCUCAGGAGAACAGUGAUCUGCUAUUCUUCCUACUGCUUCAUUUAGUUUAAG
Molecule: long non-coding RNA, 2346 nt
Filed under: Prunus persica (peach)
Lineage: Eukaryota; Viridiplantae; Streptophyta; Magnoliopsida; Rosales; Rosaceae
Description: long non-coding RNA (PPER_LNC007457)
Source: RNAcentral